Molecule: long non-coding RNA, 1586 nt
Organism: Xenopus laevis (African clawed frog)
Lineage: Eukaryota; Metazoa; Chordata; Amphibia; Anura; Pipidae
Exons: 2
Source: RefSeq, a predicted model, not a curated record
CUUGUAUGUGGAUGGUUUUGCUGUGAACAGACAACAUGCGGUCACAGGAGCUCUCCGUGCAGAUGGUGCCAGAUGCUAGGUUUCUAAUGGUUAAACAGCUUUAGUGUAAUUUCGCUGUACAUCCUCCAAUAAGCCUGAAAAGGGACACCUGGACGCAGGCAAACUAAAGCAAUCAGACACCAUUCAACUUCAGACAAAGUGGAAACAUGGCAGAUAAUAAAUUGUUCAUCAACUUUGGGAUGUUAGCACAUCCAAAAAUAACAUACCGGAUAAUGAGUGAACAAGCAGUAAGUCUGUCAUCUGUGAUCUGUAAAAUGAGAGCUAAUAGGAUGGGAGAUCCAUUUUCAAGGAGUGAAAGAUUUGUAGGGUAUAAGAAUCGUAUAGUCAUUAUUGUUCUUUACUCCCUUCUUUGUCUAAAGGUCCAGCUGGAAACUGUCUCAGCAAUCCCCUGUUAACUUUCCACUUGUUCUGUCUUUUCCUUCUGAGUAUAAAUAGUCAUCAGAUUACUGAACAUUUUAGCAGUUAAAUGUUUGACAACCAUUAAAUAUCUGCAAAAUAAAAAAAUAAUUGAGUUGAAACUAUGCCAGUCUGAGAAGGCUAAGUAUUAUGACAUUACAAGUGAAUACAUAAGAAGCAGAAGGUUUUUUUCUGUCUUAACAAUUAAAAUGAAAAUUAAUAUCUAUUAUGUUUCCUAUUUACACCUUUGUGAUUCACACGCAGUACUGGUGAGAUAUAUAUAUGCCACGGUUGACUAUGGAAAUCAUUUGAAAAUAUUUUGCCCAAAUGUUGAUGGGGACAUGUACCUUCAAUAGCAAUAUCGCUCCAAUCAAGUGGUGCUGGACUACAGCAUACUCUAGCAUAUUAUUAAGGGGCAGAUUUAUCAAGGGUUGAAUUUCAAGUUCAUUGGAGUGAACUUGAAAUUUGACCAAUUGCAAUUUAUUAAAAAGAAAUCUAAUUUUACAAAAUCGGAUGAAUAGGAUUGACCCGCAAAUUCUCAAAACUUGAGUUUUUAUCUCUGAAAAAAACUUUAAUGUCAGGAAAUCUGCAAACAACUCUGAAUUGAUCCCAGGAUCAUGUCUUCCAUAGGCUAAAACAGCAAUUCAGCAGGUUUAUAGUUUUGAGGUAAUUAGCUAGGCCCUUAAUAGAGGCUUAUAGAGGCCUACGUGACAGAAAAGAAAUAGCCAUACUUCAGCCAUACUGUUAUUUACAGCUAAAAGUAUGCAGUCUCUGAUGUUUAUCAUAAGUUAUGGAAGUUUUUUUAGAUCUAAAAAGGGAUCAUAUCAGCCACCAUCAUGCCUGGAAUAGUCAAGUGUUAUAACCAAAGACCAAGCAGACCUAAUGUAUAACAAAGAAGAUGAACUGAUAUGAACAAAAACCUGAACUUUGAUUAGUUAAAAUAUUGGUAAACAAGGUCACUGGACAUUGAUUGGUUUAAGUAUUGGACUGAGAUGGAUGUUUUGGAAUAAGAGGUAGCAUGGGUGGUUAUAAAAUAAGCUAGGAAUAAUGUGAGUUUGGAAGACUUAUGUACAUUGUUCUAUUUACAUCUGUAUUCUCCACCGGAAUAUUAAAGCUUGGCUUUCUGUCAA